CUGUCUGUAUAUGGGACAGUCCCCCCCCAGGUAGAGAAACUCACCAGUGAUUUCACCUCCACGGUAACAGCAGCUGGUCUGCACAAAAUACCAUCCUGUGGUUUGGGCUCACUUUGGACUGUGAGGGGCUGCUGAGUUCUGAUGGGAUGGGAGCAUUACAUGCAGCAUGGAAAGGGCCUCCUGUCCCAGAAGUGCUUGCUUAGCUUCAGAGUGUACAGGGAGGGACGCCUUGGGGCUGGAAGUAGGAAUGAAUAGACUGG
Molecule: non-coding RNA, 260 nt
Organism: Pelobates cultripes (western spadefoot toad)
Lineage: Eukaryota; Metazoa; Chordata; Amphibia; Anura; Pelobatidae
Source: the annotation of a GenBank genome assembly